Molecule: ribosomal RNA, 497 nt
Filed under: uncultured bacterium
Lineage: Bacteria
Description: partial 16S ribosomal RNA
Rfam family: Bacterial small subunit ribosomal RNA
Source: RNAcentral
GAUGAACGCUGGCGGCGUGCCUAAUACAUGCAAGUCGAGCGAACAGACGAGGAUCUUGCUCCUCUGACGUUAGCGGCGGACGGGUGAGUAACACGUGGAUAACCUACCUAUAAGACUUGGAUAACUUCGGGAAACCGGAGCUAAUACCGUAUAAUAUAUUGAACCGCAUGGUUCAAUAGUGAAAGACGGUUUUGCUGUUACUUAUAGAUGGAUCCGCGCCGCAUUAGCUAGUUGGUAAGGUAACGGCUUACCAAGGCAACGAUGCGUAGCCGACCUGAGAGGGUGAUCGGCCACACUGGAACUGAGACACGGUCCAGACUCCUACGGGAGGCAGCAGUAGGGAAUCUUCCGCAAUGGGCGAAAGCCUGACGGAGCAACGCCGCGUGAGUGAUGAAGGUCUUCGGAUCGUAAAACUCUGUUAUUAGGGAAGAACAAAUGUGUAAGUAACUAUGCACGUCUUGACGGUACCUAAUCAGAAAGCCACGGCUAACUACGUG